Molecule: long non-coding RNA, 1258 nt
Filed under: Pogona vitticeps (central bearded dragon)
Lineage: Eukaryota; Metazoa; Chordata; Lepidosauria; Squamata; Agamidae
Description: lncRNA (ENSPVIG00000004746.1)
Source: RNAcentral
AAGGGUCUUGUCUUGGUAAGGAAUUGACUUGAUCGCAUAGAAUACUUAUUGUGAACAGCAAGGUAAAAAGGAAGCUUAUUGCGACUUUACUGGGGAUUUAAGGAGAGCAAAGGAAGAAAAGAAUCACUAAACUUAACUACAGAAGCUUCUAAACCUGGUUUCCGUGUUUGUAAGUCUGCUGUUCUAUUCCGAUGGAAGAUGAGAUGAGACCACCCAGAAGUGACUUCAGAGAAAGAAUGAAGAAAACCUAAGAGUACCAAUCUGAAUGUAGAUCUAGAAAAGCCACGAUGGGGACGCAGUCUGGUCAAUCUGAGUAUCAGUCUGUUCAUAGUCCCAAAGCAAAACCACCUGCUACAUGCAUUAGUAUUUUGUUCCAAUAAUGUUGCUGUCUUUUCCUUUUCUUUUGGUAGGUCUGCUGAGCCAAGCAUCAUCAUUUGAGUACACGUUGACGGUGCCUCCCUCCUCUUAUGUGCAGCAAGGCUCCUCCCUUUACAUUCCCUGCCAGUUCACAUAUAACAGGAGAGAUGCUUACUGGUUGGGGGAGACAAUAACUGUCUACUGGUUGAAGUUUGCAGAAGGAACCAGACACUGUUUUGAUUACAGCCCAUCAAGGUGCUUUCCUGGUAUUCUUAUGGCCACAAACCCACAGGCUGUGGAUAAAUUGACUCAAAACCGUUUCUUUGGAGUGGGAGAUCCAAACCAAGGCAACUGUUCCUUUCUCAUUGUGGAUGCCCAACCCGAAGACGAGGGGAACUACUACUUGAGAAUUCACGGGAGCAGCAGGCUAAAGUACAGUUAUUCGCCUCCAAAACACAUUUCACCUCACAUUAUGAUGACAGAACAACCUCAGAUCGUCAGAAUCAGAAAGAAAGAAGACGAUCAACACGCUGGUGAGAUCUGAAAUGCAAAACGCUUUUGUAUGUCUGUGUCAACCUGCAUGCAAAAUAUGGAUGUUCAAGUGCUUUUUAAUGUAUGCUCUUGGGCCAUCCAUCCCUCCUUUCCAAGUAAAAACUCAGCACGAAAACGAAGCACUGCAUCUUUCCAUAUGUAAAUGCCAAAUGUUUGGAUUCAUUGUCUCUCCAAUAGUCAUUACCGAAAGCCACCUCAUGAAGCCAUAAAAUUGUGAUCCCUUAUAAUCUUUCUGCACUGACAAAACCUAGGAUCUCAAGAACAGCCGGGUCUGUCCUCAGCAGCCAAUCUUUAGCGAUAUCCUUCAGGGCAGUGGUUGCCCAUCUUGGGUCACCCAGGUGUUCAUGGA